GACGAACGCUGGCGGCGUGCCUAAUACAUGCAAGUAGAACGCUGAAGGAGGAGCUUACUCUUCUGGAUGAGUUGCGAACGGGUGAGUAACGCGUAGGUAACCUGCCUGGUAGCGGGGGAUAACUAUUGGAAACGAUAGCUAAUACCGCAUAAGAGUAGAUGUUGCAUGACAUUUACUUAAAAGGUGCAAUUGCAUCACUACCAGAUGGACCUGCGUUGUAUUAGCUAGUUGGUGGGGUAACGGCUUACCAAGGCGACGAUACAUAGCCGACCUGAGAGGGUGAUCGGCCACACUGGGACUGAGACACGGCCCAGACUCCUACGGGAGGCAGCAGUAGGGAAUCUUCGGCAAUGGACGGAAGUCUGACCGAGCAACGCCGCGUGAGUGAAGAAGGUUGUCGGAUCGUAAAGCUCUGUUGUAAGAGAAGAACGAGUGUGAGAGUGGAAAGUUCACACUGUGACGGUAUCUUACCAGAAAGGGACGGCUAACUACGUG
This 495-nucleotide ribosomal RNA is filed under the name uncultured bacterium. RNAcentral describes it as "partial 16S ribosomal RNA". It matches the Rfam family "Bacterial small subunit ribosomal RNA", at positions 28 to 507 of the family's 1533-position model. The record is from RNAcentral.